Molecule: non-coding RNA, 26 nt
Filed under: Homo sapiens (human)
Lineage: Eukaryota; Metazoa; Chordata; Mammalia; Primates; Hominidae
Source: RNAcentral
GCAAAGAGUAGGGUAAGGAUGGAUAC